AGCCAGCAUGGCGCAGUGGUUUGAGCAUUAGAUUACAACUCUGGAGACCAGGGUUCAGUUCUCAGCUUGGUUA
This 73-nucleotide transfer RNA is filed under the name Phrynosoma platyrhinos (Desert horned lizard). RNAcentral's name for it is "tRNA-OTHER". Lineage: Eukaryota; Metazoa; Chordata; Lepidosauria; Squamata; Phrynosomatidae. The record is from RNAcentral.